AUCCAAGUCCACAGAGGAUGAGAAUAUAGCCAGCAUAGCGUGCCUUUCCCUCUUGCUUUGUUUUCCAUUCACGAGUCAAGGUGCUUAAAAAUUUAAAUUUGAUAAAGCAUAGGACCCUAACAAAGGCGCUUGCAUUCUUAAUUUAAAAUGGAUACUUCCUGAUCUUAGUUGAGGUCAUUUUGAAACUUGAAUCGGUUGUCUUCAUGUUCUUUAAUAAGCUUGGUAUUGAAAAUGACAACAUUCAUGCCCAAGAAAACUUUUGCCAUGCGUCACUGUAAACCUGAAGCCUUUUGCUUUUCGGUACAUCAGAACUCAGAAAACUGUAAACUAGAACCUUUGCCACGAACCACUCCAUACGUUAUUCUUUCAGGAGAAUUUCAAGUUUGGCAUUAACUUGCAUAUAGCCACCGCAUGAAAGCCAGAGUAAAACUUCCUUCAAAAGACUUCCCAUGCCUUAUUCAGUUUCAAUAAAAGAGAUCAGAUAUAUUACCAUUCAAACCACGCCACAAUCAAACCAUCCAUAGUCCAAAUGCAUGUUUUUGUGCAGAUGUCAUUUUUUUUAAUCAAUUUUUAUGUCUGGGAAACAAAUCUGGUUGUCAUAAACAAAUUUACAUAGAU
Molecule: unclassified non-coding RNA, 618 nt
Filed under: Hevea brasiliensis (rubber tree)
Lineage: Eukaryota; Viridiplantae; Streptophyta; Magnoliopsida; Malpighiales; Euphorbiaceae
Source: RNAcentral